Lachnospiraceae bacterium CAG:364 is the source of this 92-nucleotide non-coding RNA. NCBI's taxonomy places the organism in Bacteria, Bacillati, Bacillota, Clostridia, Lachnospirales, Lachnospiraceae. The record is from Rfam.
GGAUGGCUCUCUGGAGAAUCCCGAAAAGGGUGCCGAAGGUGUAAGCAGACAGUGUCUGUGAAUCUCUCAGGCAAAAGGACAGUGAAGUUUUU